AUGAAAUUCAUCCUUUUCCUUUAGUAAGAAAGGGAGG
Molecule: small RNA, 37 nt
Filed under: Archaeoglobus fulgidus
Lineage: Archaea; Methanobacteriati; Methanobacteriota; Archaeoglobi; Archaeoglobales; Archaeoglobaceae
Source: RNAcentral